CCUACGGGCGGCAGCAGUGGGGAAUAUUGGACAAUGGGGGCAACCCUGAUCCAGCCAUGCCGCGUGUGUGAAGAAGGCCCUCGGGUUGUAAAGCACUUUCAGUGAGGAAGAACGCCUGGUGGUUAAUACCCAUCAGGAAAGACAUCACUCACAGAAGAAGCACCGGCUAACUCCGUGCCAGCAGCCGCGGUAAUACGGAGGGUGCGAGCGUUAAUCGGAAUUACUGGGCGUAAAGCGCGCGUAGGUGGCUUGAUAAGCCGGUUGUGAAAGCCCCGGGCUCAACCUGGGAACGGCAUCCGGAACUGUCAAGCUAGAGUGCAGGAGAGGAAGGUAGAAUUCCCGGUGUAGCGGUGAAAUGCGUAGAGAUCGGGAGGAAUACCAGUGGCGAAGGCGGCCUUUGGGACUGACACUGACACUGAGGUGCGAAAGCGUGGGUAGCAAACAGGAUUAGAUACCCUUGUAGUC
This 465-nucleotide ribosomal RNA is filed under the name Vreelandella stevensii. Its description in RNAcentral is "partial 16S ribosomal RNA". It matches the Rfam family "Bacterial small subunit ribosomal RNA", at positions 338 to 795 of the family's 1533-position model. Lineage: Bacteria; Pseudomonadati; Pseudomonadota; Gammaproteobacteria; Oceanospirillales; Halomonadaceae. The record is from RNAcentral.